This 77-nucleotide transfer RNA is filed under the name Candidatus Saccharimonadota bacterium. Its description in RNAcentral is "tRNA-Met". It matches the Rfam family "tRNA". Rfam says of the family: Transfer RNA (tRNA) molecules are approximately 80 nucleotides in length. Lineage: Bacteria; Candidatus Saccharimonadota. The record is from RNAcentral.
CGCGGGGUGGAGCAGUCCGGUAGCUCGCUGGGCUCAUAACCCAGAGGUCGUUGGUUCAAAUCCAACCCCCGCUACCA